This is a long non-coding RNA of Pteropus alecto (black flying fox), 1732 nucleotides long. RefSeq lists it as uncharacterized. Lineage: Eukaryota; Metazoa; Chordata; Mammalia; Chiroptera; Pteropodidae. The record is from RefSeq and is a predicted model, not a curated record. The transcript is spliced from 2 exons.
CCCUGUACAACCUGCUUCCUGCUGUCCUCUGAGGCUUCCUCUGUUACUUCCCCAGUGAUUCUCCCUUCUAGCCAUGCCAAGCUUUUGGUGGAGCCUCAAAAUUGUGGGCAUAUUUGCUCUGCCUGGAAUACCCUUCCCUCCUUUUCAUACUUGGCUUAUGCCAAUUUAAACCUUUUAAAGACCUUCCCUCUUCCUCUCCUUUCUCAUUAUGUGACCUUCGUCAAGUUCCUAAAGCUUUCUGAGCCUCAUCUGUAAGACAGAGAUAAUAGAUCCUACCUACCUCAUGGGGUCAUUGUGGAGACAAAAUGAGUUGUGUUCAAGAGAGGGCCUGGCCUUUAGCAUCACCAGCCUGGCAUUGACCAGUGUGGUGACAGCUACCUGUCUUCUUGGAGUUUCUGCAGACCCAGGACUGUCCCUGAUUUGACCUCCUGCCCCUGCUCCCCAGCACAUCAGAGGCAGACAUGUAAGGUUUGCUCAGUGAGGAGAGGAAGUCAGAGUGAUCCGUCUUAGUAAGCAGGUCCUUGAAAGCCUCCUCUAUAUCAGUAUUCCCAAAGGAGCCGGGAUUACUCUGCAGAGUCAGGCAAAUGGCUGGCUGACCAUAGAUUUCAGACUGACAUACCUCUAGAAUUUAGGGCUUGUGUGAGACCUAAGGUGGUAUGUAAAAAGGACUGACAGUCACUCGGGACCAAGCAGUGACCUAGGGACUGAGCAUGCAAGAAGAACAAGCAUGGUGUGUCUGGGAAGAAAAAACAUGCACACAAGUACUCCGAGUGAAGAGGAAUGUGGUCUUCGUCUCCAUAGGAGAGGCUUGGGGCCAGAAGGUCCGGGAGGAGUGGCCUCGGAGCUGGGCCUUGAAAGAAAGGUGGGCCCUGGGAAUUGUAGAAGACAUCCAUCCAGACCACAGCAAGAGCAAGUCACAGAGAUGAGAAAGCAGAGAGCUACAUGGGCCAUGUGUUCGGAGAACUGUAAGAACAGUAGGCUGUAGCCGGCAUCCCAAGGGCGAUGGGAUCAGGCUUGCAGGCAGCUCAUUGGCUCCAAAGGGAGGCAGGCUUUUCCCACACAUUCUCAGUGCAUUCAGUCCACUCCCUGAGGUACCCUUACCUCCCCCAAGGGGCCUGGGCCACAUCCAAAUACCUCUUUGAGCUUGGCACGUCCAGCCCACCUGGAUGCUGCUACAGCAGCACAAUCAAGGCUUUACUUCAUCUUCCUGCCCCUCCAUUCCAACCACCUGUCCAACCGUAACACACUGGCCUCACACUGGCCUCUCCCAGGGGAGCUCUGACAACCCUAUCAACUCCUACCUAUGGCUGCACCACUUGAGAAGACGAUGCUCCUUCUAACUUUUCUUCCAUUUCUGGUUCCCUCAAAGCUCCUCAUCAGGAGGCCAGAUGACAUGGGAAGAGGCAAGCCCCAGGCCUGUCCCUUGGCUGCACAGCACAGGCACCCAAGAGCCUCACACUUCAUCUCCCAUACCUGUUUAGAUUCAUUAUGGCCCAUCCCAAAGUUAGGAUGGCAACCAACUCCUCUAUACAGAUGACACUGAAGCCCUGAGAGGAGACAAGCCUUGUCCAAAGUCACCUAGCUAGUAAGUGGCUGAGCUAGGACUCAACCCAGGGCCUCUGACCCACAUUAGCACAUUUCCCACCAGAACUGAGCUGUUUUCAAACAGUCCAGGGCUUAUUACUGCUGCUUAGUAAGCAAUAAAAUAAUCUCUGGUUUUGACUUAAAAUAA